UAACGCGUGAGGAACCUGCCUCAAAGAGGGGGACAACGAGUUGGAAACGACUGCUAAUACCGCAUAAGCCCACAGCUCGGCAUCGAGCAGAGGGAAAAGGAGUGAUCCGCUUUGAGAUGGCCUCGCGUCCGAUUAGCUAGUUGGUGAGGUAAUGGCCCACCAAGGCGACGAUCGGUAGCCGGACUGAGAGGUUGAACGGCCACAUUGGGACUGAGACACGGCCCAG
This 226-nucleotide ribosomal RNA is filed under the name uncultured bacterium. Its description in RNAcentral is "partial 16S ribosomal RNA". It matches the Rfam family "Bacterial small subunit ribosomal RNA", at positions 111 to 334 of the family's 1533-position model. The record is from RNAcentral.